AGAAUUUUUAAAUAAAAAAUUAUUAAAAAUAUUUUAAUGGGGGUUAAAGUAUUUAGAUAAAAAAAAUUAAAAAUUUUAUAGUGAAGUAGUAUUGUAAAAGAAUUAUUAAAUAAAAUGAAAAAAAAAAUUAAUUAAAAGUAAUUUUAAUUUAGUGUAUCUUGUGUAUCAGAGUUUAUUAAAAAAUAUUUUUUUGUUAAGAAUUCUCGAAUUUAAAAGAGAUAAUUAAUUAUAAAAGUUAUUGUAGUAAAAAUAUUUUAAAUAAUUAAUUUGAAAUGAAAUGUUAAAUCGUUUUUAAAGAUAUCUAGUUUUUUUAGAAAAAAAUUUAAUUUUAAAUUUAUAUAUUAUUUUUAUUUAUUAAUUAAUUAAUAAAUAAUUAUUUUAAGUUUUAUAUAUUAAGGGAUAAUCUUUAAUUUAAAUAAAUAUAAUAAAAUAAUGAUGAUAUAAUUUGAAAAUUUUAUAAUUUAUAUUGUUAAUAAAAUUUAAUUUAUUAUAAAUAAUUUCAUUUAAUAAUAAAAUUUAAUAAUAAAAUUUAUUUUUAUAUAAAAAAAUAAUUUUAAAUAAAAUAAAAUUAGUUAUAAUGAUAAAAUUAGUAUAUAAUUUAAUUUCAAUAAAAUUUGUUAUUUAAAUUAAUUAAAAGGAAUUCGGCAAAAAUUUAUAUUCACUUGUUUAACAAAAACAUGUCUUUUUGAAAAUAAUUUAAAGUCUAGCCUGCCCACUGAUUUUAAAAUUAAAGGGCUGCAGUAUUUUGACUGUACAAAGGUAGCAUAAUCAUUAGUCAUUUAAUUGGUGACUUGUAUGAAAGGUUGGAUGAAAUAUAGACUGUCUUUUAUUUAAAUUAUAAAAUUUAAUUUUUCAAUUAAAAAGUUGAAAUAUAUUAAAAAGACGAGAAGACCCUAUAGAGUUUUAUAUUUAAUAUUAUUAAUUUUAUUUAUAAAAUUAAUAAAUUUAAAUAUAUUAAAUAUUUCAUUGGGGUGAUGAAAAAAUAAAAUUAACUUUUUUUUUUAUUAAACAUAAAUAAAUGAGUAAAUGAUCCAGUUUUAUUGAUUAUAAGAAAAAAUUACCUUAGGGAUAACAGCGUAAUUUUUUUUUUUAGUUCAAAUAAGAAAAAGAGUUUGCGACCUCGAUGUUGGAUUAAGAUAAAAUUUAAAUGUAGAAGUUUAAAAUUUUGAUCUGUUCGAUCAUUAAAAUCUUACAUGAUCUGAGUUCAAACCGGUGUAAGCCAGGUUGGUUUCUAUCUUUUAAAAAAUAAAAUAUUUUAGUACGAAAGGAUCAAAUAUUUAAAUUAAAUUUUUUUUUCUUUGAAUUUUAUUAAAAAAAAAAAAAUAAAU
Molecule: ribosomal RNA, 1328 nt
Filed under: Ischyja manlia
Lineage: Eukaryota; Metazoa; Arthropoda; Insecta; Lepidoptera; Erebidae
Description: 16S ribosomal RNA
Source: RNAcentral